RNAcentral lists this ribosomal RNA (481 nucleotides) under uncultured bacterium. Its description in RNAcentral is "partial 16S ribosomal RNA". It matches the Rfam family "Bacterial small subunit ribosomal RNA", at positions 28 to 507 of the family's 1533-position model. The record is from RNAcentral.
GAUGAACGCUGGCGGCGUGCUUAACACAUGCAAGUCGAACGAAGCAUUUGCGACAGAUUUUUUCGGAAUGAAGUUGCUUAUGACUGAGUGGCGGACGGGUGAGUAACGCGUGGGUAACCUGCCUUGUACUGGGGGAUAGCAGCUGGAAACGGCUGGUAAUACCGCAUAAGCGCACAAUGUUGCAUGACAUGGUGUGAAAAACUCCGGUGGUAUAAGAUGGACCCGCGUCUGAUUAGCUAGUUGGUGAGAUAACAGCCCACCAAGGCGACGAGCAGUAGCCGACCUGAGAGGGUGACCGGCCACAUUGGGACUGAGACACGGCCCAGACUCCUACGGGGAGCAGCAGUGGGGAAUAUUGCACAAUGGAGGAAACUCUGAUGCAGCGACGCCGCGUGAGUGAAGAAGUAAUUCGUUAUGUAAAGCUCUAUCAGCAGGGAAGAUAGUGACGGUACCUGACGAAGAAGCACCGGCUAAAUACGUG